GAGCAGAUCUGAAAGACAACGUUUGUUAAAUUGAGAAAGUUGAGUCGUCCAGGCCUUUCUUUAAUGAUCUAGAGCAGUGUUACCCAAC
Long non-coding RNA from Sinocyclocheilus rhinocerous, 88 nucleotides. RefSeq lists it as uncharacterized. Lineage: Eukaryota; Metazoa; Chordata; Actinopteri; Cypriniformes; Cyprinidae. The transcript has 3 exons. The record is from RefSeq and is a predicted model, not a curated record.